CAGUCGCCGCGGGAAAACGGAGGGAGCUAGCGUUAUUCGGAAUUACUGGGCGUAAAGCGCACGUAGGCGGCUUUGUAAGUUAGAGGUGAAAGCCUGGAGCUCAACUCCAGAAUUGCCUUUAAGACUGCAUCGCUUGAAUCCAGGAGAGGUGAGUGGAAUUCCGAGUGUAGAGGUGAAAUUCGUAGAUAUUCGGAAGAACACCAGUGGCGAAGGCGGCUCACUGGACUGGUAUUGACGCUGAGGUGCGAAAGCGUGGGGAGCAAACAGGAUUAGAUACCCGUGUAGUCCCUGUCUCUUAUAU
RNAcentral lists this ribosomal RNA (301 nucleotides) under uncultured bacterium. RNAcentral describes it as "partial 16S ribosomal RNA". It matches the Rfam family "Bacterial small subunit ribosomal RNA", at positions 509 to 809 of the family's 1533-position model. The record is from RNAcentral.